This 219-nucleotide ribosomal RNA is filed under the name uncultured bacterium. RNAcentral describes it as "partial 16S ribosomal RNA". It matches the Rfam family "Bacterial small subunit ribosomal RNA", at positions 118 to 351 of the family's 1533-position model. The record is from RNAcentral.
UGGGAACGUGCCCCUUUNAGUUCGGAACAACCCAGGGAAACUUGGGCUAAUACCGGAUACGUCCGUAAGGAGAAAGAUUUAUCGCUGAAGGAUCGGCCCGCGUCUGAUUAGCUAGUUGGUGGGUAAUGGCCCACCAAGGCUACGAUCAGUAGCUGGUCUGAGAGGAUGAUCAGCCACACUGGGACUGAGACACGGCCCAGACCUCCGUACGGGAGGCAG